UAGAAUGUCAUUCAACUCUCUGUUUUGGUGUAAAAUUGUUUGAAACGAAAAGGGUUUCUUAAUUUAAUUAGAUGGUGCCCCCUGCAGUGCCCCCUGCAGUGCCCUAACCGGCGGCGGCGAGUCGCGAUCCUCUCCGGCGACGGCGGGGACCCAGCAGAUUUGGAGUGAAAUGAACACAAACGUAUAACUUGGGCAAGCAUUCACGCAUAGCUUCACUCGUGAAAUCAAUUUCGUCGAAAACUUUGGGCAAAACCUGUGCGAGAUUGCCAAUUUUCGUUGAAUCGGUUUCCCCAGGCUCAAGUUUGGCAGCGUGUUAGCUCGGGGAAGUUACUAAGGCAAUAAUGUGGCAACUUGCACGUAUUUUUGCACAAAUUAUGGUGCAAAAUUAUAACCCAUGCGAAAACUUAGGGACACCCUGCCCAAGUUUUAGCCUAGAUUAUUUGGUUUCUCUUUGGUGAAAACCCGUGCAGGCUGGUCCUUGUUUGUUGAACAUGUCUUUUAUUUGGGCACAAUCUUGGCGGAGCCAAAAAGAAUAGUGGCUUUGUAAAUGGGGGAACUUGGACUUUUUUUUACUCAGGUUGGGGUGAAAGCUGAUAACCCAUGUGAACCCUAGUUUUGAUUUAAGUUUUUUGACAGAAUAUUUGUGCA
Momordica charantia (bitter melon) is the source of this 648-nucleotide long non-coding RNA. RefSeq lists it as uncharacterized. NCBI's taxonomy places the organism in Eukaryota, Viridiplantae, Streptophyta, Magnoliopsida, Cucurbitales, Cucurbitaceae. The record is from RefSeq and is a predicted model, not a curated record.